AUAGGACUAAGCCAUGCGAGUCAACGUAGCAAUACGUGGCAUACGGCUCAGUAACACGUAGUCAACAUGCCCAGGGGACGUGGAUAACCUCGGGAAACUGAGGAUAAACCACGAUAGGUCAUAAUAUCUGGAAUGAUUUAUGGCUAAAAUCUACAUGGCCCCUGGAUUGGACUGCGGCCGAUCAGGCUGUUGGUGAGGUAAUGGCCCACCAAACCUAAAACCGGUACGGGCUCUGAGAGGAGAAGCCCGGAGAUGGGCACUGAGACAAGGGCCCAGGCCCUAUGGGGCGCAGCAGGCGCGAAAACUCUGCAAUAGGCGAAAGCUUGACAGGGUUAUUCUGAGUGAUUUCCGCUAAGGAAAUCUUUUGGCACCUCUAAAAAUGGUGCAGAAUAAGGGGUGGGCAAGCCUGGUGUCAGCCGCCGCGGUAAUACCAGCACCCCGA
This 442-nucleotide ribosomal RNA is filed under the name uncultured archaeon. RNAcentral describes it as "bacterial SSU rRNA". It matches the Rfam family "Archaeal small subunit ribosomal RNA", at positions 38 to 487 of the family's 1478-position model. The record is from RNAcentral.